GGGUGCAGCGGAACCAGCAACGAACAAAUCUGGAGACUUUUGGACUCGAUCGAAGGCCCUUGACAAAAUCAGCCUGGUUGCUGUCUUCUUCGUCAGCCUUUCGUUCCAGAUGAAGAACGCCUCUAAGAUCACCUCUAAAAAAAUCCAAGAUCUGGUACCCAACCAGAUCAGGCCUGGACCGAGGUCUUCCAAUUCAUAGAUCUC
Molecule: long non-coding RNA, 204 nt
Filed under: Elaeis guineensis (African oil palm)
Lineage: Eukaryota; Viridiplantae; Streptophyta; Magnoliopsida; Arecales; Arecaceae
Description: long non-coding RNA (EGUI_LNC061192)
Source: RNAcentral